This 292-nucleotide unclassified non-coding RNA is filed under the name Hevea brasiliensis (rubber tree). The record is from RNAcentral. Lineage: Eukaryota; Viridiplantae; Streptophyta; Magnoliopsida; Malpighiales; Euphorbiaceae.
GUUUCAUCUAAGUGUUCUUCCUUUGACUCGUCAGCUGACCAAUAUCAGUGGUAACCUUUGGGGAAAAACCCUUCAGGGUGCUCGGGCCCAAAGAGUAGAAUACCUCUUGUUGCAUGCAUUCCAUGCUAAGAAAUUCAUAGUGCCAGACAAAUUUUCUUCUCAUGCAAGAGAAGCUAAAAUUACAAAAAGAAAGUUGAACCAGGGUGAUGAGGGAAAAGAAACUGAGCCCAUUGAUGCUGAUGAUCCAAAUAUUGAAGGUGGGAUUCUGGACAUCAACCAUGGGAAAGCAAAA